This 404-nucleotide ribosomal RNA is filed under the name Amblyomma cajennense (Cayenne tick). Its description in RNAcentral is "partial 16S ribosomal RNA". The stretch from base 136 to 404 matches the Rfam family "Bacterial large subunit ribosomal RNA", at positions 2078 to 2597 of the family's 2925-position model. The record is from RNAcentral. Lineage: Eukaryota; Metazoa; Arthropoda; Arachnida; Ixodida; Ixodidae.
UAGUAUUUUGACUAUACAAAGGUAUUGAAAUAAGACUUUUAUUGAGUGCUAAGAGAGUGGAAUUACAGGAAAAAUCUUUUUAAACCUAAAAAUUAAAGUUAUUUUUACUUGUGAAGAAACAGUAAUAAGAAUUAAGGACAAGAAGACCCUAAGAAUUUUUUGAAAUGUGUUUCAAUAUGGAAAAUUCAUUUCUUUAAUUGGGGCGAUUAAUUAAUAUUAAAAACUUUUUUGCAAAAAAAGGAACCGCUUACUAGCGGUAAUUUGGUCAAAAUACUCUAGGGAUAACAGCGUAAUAAUUUUAGAUAGUUCAUAUUGACAAAAUAGUUUGCGACCUCGAUGUUGGAUUAGGAUAUUUUUUUAAUGAAGAAGUUAAAAAAAAGAGUUUGUUCAACUUUUAAUUUCCU